Molecule: ribosomal RNA, 161 nt
Filed under: Draculoides sp. SCH071
Lineage: Eukaryota; Metazoa; Arthropoda; Arachnida; Schizomida; Hubbardiidae
Description: partial small subunit ribosomal RNA
Source: RNAcentral
AGAUACUAUUUGUUGAUCAUAAUUAAUUUUAAAAGUAUUGGCGGUAUUUAGUUAUAUUCUGAGGAACUUGUUUAGUUAAAUUGAUAUUACUCAUUAAAUUUUACCUACAAUUUGUUUUAUGUAUUGCUGUUUAAUUAAUUGUUUGUUAAUAAGAAUUAAUU